This is a long non-coding RNA of Brassica napus (rape), 5151 nucleotides long. RefSeq lists it as uncharacterized. The record is from RefSeq and is a predicted model, not a curated record. The transcript has 3 exons. NCBI's taxonomy places the organism in Eukaryota, Viridiplantae, Streptophyta, Magnoliopsida, Brassicales, Brassicaceae.
CCUUUUGGGUGGGAAAUGCCUAAAGAUCAACUUUUGAGAAGCUAACUCAGAAGAUGCAUUAUGAUUACUCUACUAGCAAGGUUUUGGAAUGAUCUACUCUAAAACAUCCUAGCUCUAACCUAAUCACCCUUAAUCUUCCUAACCCAUGAAUUUAAAUGGUGAUUACUCACUACUCUUCAUGAUUCCUCUUAAACCCAUUUUGGAUUUCAGAUUAAUCAUACAGAGGGAUACAACAACGAAUUGGAAAACAUAGAAUUGCAAAUACUAGAUGAACAAAGAUGAUUCAAGAGAUGAACUUUCCAAAGGUUUUUUCUUAGAACAAAGAUAAUCUGUCUGGUGGCUGCCAAAAGUACAUAAAACAUAGGUUUUCAGAAGUAAAAACGUGCAUAAUGAAAUGACCAAAAGACCCUUGAGUAGAAAUGAAUUCGAGCAAACAGAAGGCGCGCAGCAACCUCCAGUAGUCGCUCCGGGAGGUCGCUCCAGGCUUCGGGAGCGACCUGGAGGGGUCGCUGCGAGAUGUUGCUCUGGGUCGCUCUUCGCGAGCGACCUCACUGUGUCACUCCGGUCACGUUGCUCUGGGUGAUGGAGACGCGAGCGACAUCGGGGUGUCGCUCUGCCCAAGUCGCUCUGAAAGGGUGUCACAGCGACUUCACGAUGUCGCUCCGGCGAGGUCGCUCCCAUGCACUGCUCGUCCAAUGAUCACCUUUAUCACCUCUUUUGAGCUCCAAAUGCACCCAAAUAUCUCCAAGAACUCCAUGUGGUACUCCAAUACCUGAUAAGGACUCAUGUAUGCAAAAUGCAACCUAAACAUGGCUAAAUCCUAGUCUAUAUGAUCAAAAUGCACAUGGAUGAAUGGAUUAGACAUUGGAAAUAUGCAAGAUAUCAGCGAGGCACCUCACGUUUGCUGGAAGACUUCAGCUUAUAGGUUCUGUCUUGUAUGGCAUUACAAGUUUCUGGAUGUCUGCCUUCAGAUUGCCAAACCAGUGUAUCCAAGAGAUAAAUAGUAUCUGCGCGGCUUUCUUAUGGUCUGGACCAGUGCUCUCAACUCAUAAAUCAAAGAUAUCAUGGGUUGAUGUUUGUAAACCGAAAGAUGAAGGUGGGUUGGGGUUGCGCAAUCUCACUGAAGCAAAUAAUGUUUACUGCUUAAAGCUUAUUUGGAGACUGUUAUCUACUCGAUCUUCUCUGUGGGUGCGUUGGAUUUGGAAGUAUCUUAUGAGGAAGGUAUCGUUUUGGAGUGUUAAAGAGAGCAGCUUGUUGGGUUCUUGGAUGUGGAAGAAACCGUUGAAACUCAGGCCUUUAGCUUAUCAGUUAACUCAAGUGGAUAUUCAGAGUGGUUCAAACACUUACUUCUCGUGGGAUAAUUGGUCUUCUUUGGGAAAAUUGAUUGAGCUAACAGGGGAAGGUGGUUGUAUUGCUCUGGGUAUACCUCUGUACACUACGGUGGAAAGAGCUAUCCAGCUGUAUCGUUCAAGAUUGCAUAGGCCCCCGGUGUUUAGACAGAUAGAACAUGAGGUGAUGAGAUUGAAAAACAGAGGUCUUAACACUUUGGAGGAUGAUUUUUUGUGGAAGAGGGAAAAUGGGGAUAUUAAGCCGGGUUUUCUUACUUCUCACACAUGGAACAUUACAAAAAAUGUGUCGCCGAAGGUGGGGUGGAGCAAAGGGAUCUGGUUCUCGGAGGCUACUCCCAAGUUUGUUUUCAUAGCGUGGCUUGCUAUGCAUAAUAGGCUUGCCACAUGAGACAGGGUGUUAAAAUGGAAUCCUCAAGCCAUCACUACUUGCUGGCUUUGCAAGGUGGAGAAUGAAACCAGAGAUCAUUUGUUUUUUUAUUGUCUCUAUUCAAGAGAAGUGUGAAAGGGGGCCACUGGUAAUCUGGCGGGAAAUGGUGGUUGGAGUUGGAAUCAGGUGAUUCAAGUGGUGGUGAAUGGUUUGCAGGAGAGAGUUGCUACUUUCCUUUUGAGAUAUAGCUUUCAAGCAGUGAUCUAUGGCCUUUGGCAAGAGAGGAAUGUUAGAAGAGUGGGAGAAUCUUCCCAGCCAGCAAAUUGUUUGACUGUUCGGAUGGAUAAGCUGGUGAGGAAUAGAAUCACCUCCCUUUGGAAGAAGAAUGACAGAAAAUAUGAGAGAGUAAUGGAAGUGUGGAUGGGGAGGAGCUGAGUUUUCUUCUCUUUUUGAGUUUUAUUAGAUUGAGUUAUGUUUUGUUCUCAGUCUUAAAAAAUUAGCAGUAUCUCUGUACAAAAGUUUUUUUUGAUAUGAAUAAAUUUAAAAUUUUUUCAAAAAAAAAAAACAGAUAGUACCAGGACUGGCUUUACUGGUUGCAAGCAAACUCGCUUGACAAAGACACCACGUAAAGAGCUUCCACAAGAGAGGAUCUUCUUCAAGCAUGUGCAGCCAUUGUGGUCGAAUUUGAGGACCCAACAGACUGACUACCAAAUUGUCGUUGCCUCACUGCUGGCUGCUUUCCAGAGCACACAUAUCUUUCCAGUGUGACCCCCCAGUUCCAUAGCUGGAGUUGAGAGUUGCUGAGCCCAGUUGCAACAUGACAAGCAUCAAGUACCCCAGGUGAUGCACAGAUACUGUCUCUUCACCAAUGCUCAGAAGAACAAUAACAAGAACAAGGUUACACAAGUAGACACAAAGAAGAAGCCAAAGACUGAUUUUUUUGUGUGUGUGUAGACGAUGAGAACAGUGCCUUUAAGACAAAACUUUUCGAAAAUUUCAAGACUUUACCUAAGUUACCGUUAGUGAAAGCGAGUUUAUUGAGCUUGGAGUGGUACAAUGAUGCAGAGGAGCUUGAGGAGAAGGUUUUAGGCGGAGGAGGUAACUGGACGAACAAGGAGGGGACGUGGAGAAGAAGAGGGAGUUAGGACUUAGGACUGGAGUGGAGAUAUGAAGAUGGCGAUCCCUGCUCUGAGAAGUCAGGGACGGUGGCUGAUAAAAUCACUUCCUUGGAGAUCAUGGUUUGAGAGAAUCCCAUUGCUAACAUUAGGUCUCUUGAUUUCUUAUUGGGUAUGUCUAGGUUUACUUUAGUUGAUGUUGAUGUCUCAUUUGUGUUAUCUACUUGCUGACUUGGUUGGAGAUGUUCAUUGCAGGAAGGAAUGGUGACCUCAAAGGUAUAUCCUUUACCAGCUUAAAUACCACUCUGCACCCCCUAGCUUCUUUACUAAGCGCACUUCUCCAGGUUUUGAGUCUUGAUGAGUUAUAACUUAUAAUAUAUAUUCAUAUUAGACAUUUGAGUAAUAUAAAAUGUGGUUCUGCCUACUGGAUGAUGCAAGAUUUCAUGGUAGUUGUCUGGUUGCUAAUAGAUUUGAUGGGUUAUUUUGCACGGUACCAUGCAUCGUCAGAAUCUUUACCAUAGUAAUUGUUUUUUGUUGUUGGUUUCAGACUAUAUAUUUCAUGUUGACAAGCAAAUCAGAACAGGAGCGAAACUUGCUUGUGUCAAUUAUUCUUCGGAAUAUUUAUAGUGCUAAUUACUUAGAAUGACUCUAAUCAUGUUACUAAAUACUUGAAUGACUCUUAUAAUUUUGUAAAUACUAGAAUAAAUGGCAACACAUACAAAAUUACUAAAAUACCACCCUUCUAAACACAUUUACUUAUUAUAAUUUAUUAAUAAAAAUAUAUACAUUAUAAUUAAAAAAAAGGAAACAAAGAAACCUGUCGGAUCUUCUUCCUCACGACACUCUUCCAUCUUCAUCUCCUACCAAUCUCCGACGCCACCAUCUCCAUCUCCACUCAACCUUCAUCACUUCUAUCUCCACCGUCAAUCUUCUUCAUCUCCGUUUUCCUCUACAUCUCCAUCGAGUUCGUCUCUGUCAUCGGUGAGACAAAAUAACUCGAUUUCAAAUCGGUCCUCCACCAUAAAUCGAGUUACUUGAUUCUGUAUGGCUUCUUCUUCGGGUUCAAAGUAUCCUCGUCGUCUCUAUGAUGUUGGCAAAACCCCAAUUCAGAGUAGGAGCAUGAACCAUAGUUGUUUCUUGUCCAACGUUCAAACCGUGCUAGAAUCUGUUGGGGAUGAUGUUGUGUCUGACUUGAGGGAAUCAGCUGUUGGAGUGAUUGUGAAGCUGAAAGAGUUGGAAUACACUUGGUCUGCCUCUUGCGUUCACCAUUUUCUUGUCAAUCAAUUGGCCAUAGAGAGCAGUCAUGAGAUGUGGUCGUUGAUAGAUUGUAUGCCGUAGCGGUUCUCUCUAUAUGAGUUUGAAGAAAUUACAGGACUAAAUUGUGAUCCUUUCGAUAAGGAUGAGAUUUGGGAUGUGGAGCAUGAAAGUUUUUGGCUGGACAUGAAAGUUCCGACUUCAGAAGGUCCUACAUUGAAAGAGCUACAAGCCGUUUUAACUAUUUGCAGAAAUUGGUCUCGAGAGAAGCGAUUGAUGGUAGGUUUGUUGUGUCUGCUAUGCAUUGGGAUUUUUGGAAUUUCGAGCAACAGUAGAAUUCCUUUGCAAUGUGCUAAAAGGGUGAUGGACCCAGAAGCUUUCCAGAGAUAUCCAUGGGGUCGUGUAGGAUUUAGCAGCCUUCUUGAGUCUAUUAAAGUACUCACAUAUGAAAGAAAGAAGAGUUACACACUUCAUGGCUGUGUUCAUGUUCUCUUAAUAUGGAUUUUUGAGUCUGUCCCUGGUCUAGGAGAGAAAUUUGGGAACCGGAUAGAAGGAGCUGAUGUCCCUCUUCUGUCAUGGCUGGGGUCUCGUCCGAGUAUCAACUUCUCAGAUUUCUGUGCCCAAGAAAAGCGAAAUCAUGGGAAGUUAUGAAGAGAAGUAUUAUUCUUUUAGGGAAGUUGACUAGAAUGACUCUAAUUAGUUUAAAAAUGACUAGAAUAACUCUUAAAAAAUUAAAAUUACUAACAAUAUUUUUUGGUCAAAAAUACCCCUGAUUAUAGUUAUGAUCAAAAAGUAAUAUUACAAAAAUGCCAUUUAAAAUUAUUAAAAAAAAUUCGACGGCAGAUUUAUUUAACGAAAAACAAAUCUAUUUGAAGAUAAAUCUGUUAAAUUAAACUGUUGUAAAAUUUAUAUCUGCCAUGUAUUUGAUGGCCGAGUUUUCUGUUACAGCAGAUGUUUUUAAGCUAGCAGAUUUGUGUGGCCAAUUUAAUAAUGUUGAAAGAUUUAUCUUUAAAAGUCUGUCAUAUGUAGUAACCGAUUUGUUGAAGUUAUCAGUUUUUUUUUGGAA